RNAcentral lists this ribosomal RNA (492 nucleotides) under uncultured bacterium. Its description in RNAcentral is "partial 16S ribosomal RNA". It matches the Rfam family "Bacterial small subunit ribosomal RNA", at positions 29 to 507 of the family's 1533-position model. The record is from RNAcentral.
AUUGAGCGCUGGCGGCAUGCUUUACACAUGCAAGUCGAACGGUAACAGGCCUUCGGGUGCUGACGAGUGGCGAACGGGUGAGUAAUGCAUCGGAACGUACCCAGAGGUGGGGGAUAACGCAGCGAAAGCUGUGCUAAUACCGCAUGUGAUCUGAGGAUGAAAGCGGGGGACCGAGCAGCAAUGUUUGGCCUCGCGCCUUUGGAGCGGCCGAUGUCGGAUUAGCUAGUUGGUGGGGUAAAGGCCUACCAAGGCGACGAUCCGUAGCUGGUCUGAGAGGACGAACAGCCACACUGGGACUGAGACACGGCCCAGACUCCUACGGGAGGCAGCAGUGGGGAGUUUUGGACAAUGGGCGCAAGCCUGAUCCAGCAAUGCCGCGUGCGGGAAGAAGGCCUUCGGGUUGUAAACCGCUUUUGGCAGGAACGAAACGGUGUCCGCUAAUACCGGGCGCUAAUGACGGUACCUGCAGAAUAAGCACCGGCUAACUACGUG